This 207-nucleotide ribosomal RNA is filed under the name uncultured bacterium. Its description in RNAcentral is "partial 16S ribosomal RNA". It matches the Rfam family "Bacterial small subunit ribosomal RNA", at positions 568 to 774 of the family's 1533-position model. The record is from RNAcentral.
UGCGUAGGCGGUUACUUAAGUAGGGUGUGAAAUGUCCCGGCUCAACCGGGGAAUGGCGCUCUAAACUGGGUGGCUUGAGUGAGAUAGAGGUGUGCGGAACUUCCGGUGGAGCGGUGAAAUGUGUUGAUAUCGGAGGGAACACCAUUGGCGAAAGCGGCACACUGGGUCUCAACUGACGCUGAGGCACGAAAGCCAGAGGAGCAAACG